Small nuclear RNA from Sciurus carolinensis (gray squirrel), 105 nucleotides. NCBI's taxonomy places the organism in Eukaryota, Metazoa, Chordata, Mammalia, Rodentia, Sciuridae. The record is from RefSeq and is a predicted model, not a curated record.
GUUUUCUUUGGCAGUACAUGUAUUAAAAUUGGAAUGACACAGAGAAGAUUAGAAUGGCCCUUGAGCAAGAAUGACACACAAGUUUGUGAAGCAUUCCUGUGGAUC